UACGUAGGGGGCAAGCGUUGUCCGGAAUCAUUGGGCGUAAAGCGCGUGUAGGCGGUUCAGUAAGUCUGCUGUGAAAGUCCAGGGCUCAACCCUGGGAUGCCGGUGGAUACUGCUGGACUAGAGUGCGGAAGAGGAGAGUGGAAUUCCUGGUGUAGCGGUGAAAUGCGCAGAUAUCAGGAGGAACACCGGUGGCGAAGGCGGGUCUCUGGGCCGAUACUGACGCUGAGGAGCGAAAGCGUGGGGAGCGAACAGG
Molecule: ribosomal RNA, 253 nt
Filed under: uncultured bacterium
Lineage: Bacteria
Description: partial 16S ribosomal RNA
Rfam family: Bacterial small subunit ribosomal RNA
Source: RNAcentral